UACAGAGGUGGCAAGCGUUGCUCGGUAUCACUGGGCUUAAAGGGCGCGUAGGCGGUGCGGUACGGUUUCGGUGAAAUCCCUCGGCCCAACCGAGGAACAGCCGGGGCUACGGCCGUGCUAGACGGCAUCAGGGGACAGUGGAACUCCCGGUGGAGCGGUGAAAUGCGUAGAUAUCAGGAGGAACACCGGCGGUGUAGACGGCUUGCUAGACCAUAACUGACGCUGAGGCACGAAAGCGUGGGUAGCAAACAGG
RNAcentral lists this ribosomal RNA (253 nucleotides) under uncultured bacterium. Its description in RNAcentral is "partial 16S ribosomal RNA". It matches the Rfam family "Bacterial small subunit ribosomal RNA", at positions 524 to 776 of the family's 1533-position model. The record is from RNAcentral.